CUUUGAUGCUAAGAUACGAAGGUGAUUUUGAAGGCCAACGAGAUGAUUUUUUAAGCCAAUACCGAAUAUCAUAAAUGUGUCUCUACAGAUUCAAAGUUUUUGAGGACAUUUGAUUAGGCUGUGACCGAGACAUAUUCUUACAGUUUGCCACUGGAUCUCGCAAAGUGCUCCUUCAAGGAUUUGGUGCUCUGAGGGGAUGAACGUCGUUCAAAAGUUUCAAAUUCAUAGAGAUGACUGUUCUACCGAUCGUUUACCUUCCGCGCAUACUUGCUUUAAUCAAUUGGAUCUUCCAGUAUACGGGACUAUUACGGUAAACUAAGGGCAUACUUGCUGAAGGCUAUCCAUAAAAAAUGUUCUGAAGAUUUUGAAUUUGCCUAAAUAAUGCAAUAAACGUUAAAGACUGA
Long non-coding RNA from Sitophilus oryzae (rice weevil), 404 nucleotides. RefSeq lists it as uncharacterized. The record is from RefSeq and is a predicted model, not a curated record. The transcript has 3 exons. NCBI's taxonomy places the organism in Eukaryota, Metazoa, Arthropoda, Insecta, Coleoptera, Curculionidae.